GUUGAUAGGCCGGAUAUGGAAGCACGGUAACGUGUGGAGUUGACCGGUACUAAUAGGCCGAGGGCUUGUCCUC
This 73-nucleotide ribosomal RNA is filed under the name Streptomyces albogriseolus. RNAcentral describes it as "partial 23S ribosomal RNA". It matches the Rfam family "Bacterial large subunit ribosomal RNA", at positions 2852 to 2925 of the family's 2925-position model. RNAcentral also lists the same sequence under 93 other names. Lineage: Bacteria; Bacillati; Actinomycetota; Actinomycetes; Kitasatosporales; Streptomycetaceae. The record is from RNAcentral.